RNAcentral lists this microRNA (22 nucleotides) under Mus musculus (house mouse). Its description in RNAcentral is "mmu-miR-690". Its record names the gene mmu-miR-690. Lineage: Eukaryota; Metazoa; Chordata; Mammalia; Rodentia; Muridae. The record is from miRBase by way of RNAcentral.
AAAGGCUAGGCUCACAACCAAA